GACGAGCCUCACAAACGUUAUUCGGAAUUACUGGGCUUAAAGGGUGCGUAGGCGGCGCGGAAAGUUGGGUGUGAAAUCCCUCGGCUCAACCGAGGAAUUGCGCUCAAAACUACCGUGCUCGAGGGAGAUAGAGGAGCGCGGAACUUAGGGUGGAGCGGUGAAAUGCGUUGAUAUCCUAGGGAACACCGGUGGCGAAAGCGGCGCUCUGGAUCUCAUCUGACGCUGAUGCACGAAAGCUAGGGUAGCGAACGGG
RNAcentral lists this ribosomal RNA (253 nucleotides) under uncultured bacterium. Its description in RNAcentral is "partial 16S ribosomal RNA". It matches the Rfam family "Bacterial small subunit ribosomal RNA", at positions 524 to 776 of the family's 1533-position model. The record is from RNAcentral.